GGCGCGAGGCGUGUCCAGUAAGGUCUCCUGUGAUUGGGCAGAGCGAGCGAGCGCCGCUGGUUAAGCUCGUGCGGCGUUUAAGAGUUUAUUAUUGUAACUUUGUUACAAUUAUUACGAUUACCGUCAUCGUUAUUAAAUUACACCAGUGGGACUACUACACCAUCCUAACUUCUCACGGAUAGUGGGCAGCUCCUGGACUCUGAAGACCUGCAAAACGUGUCCACGGCAACGCCCGCUACGUGGAGCAUUGCGUGGCCUCACGUUGGCCCCACUCGCUUCUACCGGAAAUAAUGGUCUCUGGGCAGCGAAGCACUCAACCGCGUCAUGUCUGACCAAGGCAGGAACAAUAAGGAAAAAGAAGGAUCCACUUUCAAGGAUGUGGAUGUCCUGGGGCGGCUGCUGGAUUUGUUGAAUACCCCGGCCAGCAAACAGCAGCUUCCAGCACUGGGCAGUAUGGGAGCUUCCAGCCGUGUGGGGAAGGGGAGGAGAGAUGCUCGUUUCCAGUCGACCGAGGCUCUGCAGUUGGAAGCUUUCAGUUCCAAGUACAAGAAUGAGCGGGCGUUUAGCUCUCUACAUGAGCACAGCCGCUUCCUGGAGAUUCUCACUGCUCUCAUCACACAGCGGCUUCUAUGCAGACAGUGGAGAGACCGGGCGCCGAUGGCCAAUAUUCUACCUGUGCUCAUCUGCCUCCGCCUCUUCAUGCGGGACUUUUCUUACCAGAGGGUGCUGUACGAUAUGGGAGGGGUGUCUGGCUUAGCAAUGUAUAUGGACGAGGUGGCACAGCGGCACUUGUGUUACGAAGAGGAGAAGUUUGCAGAGGACGUCCUUGUCAAUCUCACCAAUAUCUUCCAAAAGCUCGCUGGAGUGGUGGAGCAGAGGGAAUGGGUCACAGAAUCUGGGGCACACAAGACGUUGGUGAUUCUGACAGCUGCCAGGGAGUCCAGUGUGCUGCUGGGUUCACUGCUGGCACUCAACAGUCUGGCUGAGAGUGCGGCGUGCCGCGGGAAGCUGGCGGAGCUAGCUGUGGUGGAGAAUCUCCUGCCUGUUCUGCAGGACUAUGACCUCCUAUCCCAGCGGUUAGCUAUGGACCUACUGCGGCAGCUGUGCCAGGAGCGCCCUGUGUGGCAUCAGAUGCGGGUGUUGGGUGGAGUGCCGGUGCUGUUGAGCCUCCUGCAGGGCGAGCACCUGCGCCUGCUUGCGAGCGCCGUGUGGGCCCUCGUGCACUUGUGCGAGGACCAGGCCAUGCUCGAGGACAUUCGGCGCUGGGGGGGUGUCACUCAGCUUCUGCGGCUGCUGCAGGGGGACCGUGAGCGUCGGUUUGUGUCGGACCGCAUUUCCUUUGGGGGCCUGUCAAGCGCCAAUGCAGCUGGGCGACUGCGGCAGCUCCCGCUUUCGGAAGAACUGAGCCCCGCGGAAAUCCAGGAUGGCCUCACCUCCUUGCAGGCUGCGUGUUGUACCGCCCUUACUGAGCUGGUGCUCAACGACAGCAAUGCACAGCAAGUUGUGCAGGCUAACGGGGUGUACAUCAUCGGCACUCUGCUGCUCCCCAACCCCACCCGCAGCACACACAAUAGGGAUGUCUUACAGCGUUAUGCCUUCAGAGCCCUGCGGUUCCUCUUCAGCAUGGAGCGAAAUAGGCAUCUAUUCAAGAGGCUCUUCCCAGCAGUGCUCUUUGAAAUGUUCAUCGACGUGGGACAUUAUGUGCGAGACAUUGUGGCUUACGAGCCCCUUGUUUUGAGGCUCAACGCACUCAAGCCAGAGGAGGUGCAGGAGAUCCAAGAGGCAGUGGAGAGCAUGGACCAGACCAGACUGCCAGAGAAACGCAUGGGGGGCUAUGCCGUGCUGGAGCACCUAGGCAGUGGGGCCUUUGGCAGUGUCUACAAGGUGAGGAAGCUGAAUGGUCAGCAGCUGCUUGCGCUCAAGGAGGUGAGCCUGCACAACCCUGCGUUCGGCAAGGACAAGACGACGCGGGACUCCAGCCUCAAUUCCAUCAUCUCUGAACUCUCCAUCAUUCGUGAACAGCUCAAACACCCAAACAUUGUAAAAUACUACAAGACAUUUGUGGAAGAUGACCGCCUGUACAUUGUGAUGGAGCUUAUUGAGGGAGCUCCACUGGGAGAACACUUUAAUGCUCUGAAGGAGAAACACGAGCGCUUCACGGAGGAACGAAUUUGGAACAUCUUCAUCCAGAUUUGCCUGGCACUGCGUUACCUACAUAAGGAGAAGCACAUCAUCCACCGAGACCUGACUCCUGGCAACAUCAUGCUGGGGGAGAGCGACCACAUCACCAUCACGGACUUUGGGCUGGCCAAGCAGAAGCAGGAGAACAGCAAGCUGACAUCCAUGGUGGGCACCAUCGUCUAUUCCUGCCCAGAGAUUUUGAAGAAUGAGCCAUACGAUGAGCGAGCAGAUGUGUGGGCAGCUGGGUGCAUCCUCUACCAAUUGGCUAUGCUCACACCGCCAUUCUACAGCACCAACAUGCUCUCCCUCGCCAGCAGGAUAGUGGGGGCGACCUAUGAGCCAAUCACCGAAGGACUCUAUUCGGCCCAGCUCAGCAAAACCGUACGAAGGUGUCUCAGUCCCGAGGCUGGAUUGCGCCCGGACGUGGUGGAGGUGUGCGCAGGGCUGUCGGCGCGCCUCAUGGCUCAUGCAGAUGCCCUGGGAGCCAACUGCUGUGACAUGGAGCACCGCUUGGAAAGGGAGCGGCGCCGUACUCAGCGCCGUCUAGCGCAGGCCCACAUGCACGCACAUUGUUGCCUGGCACAACAGGAGCAGGAAGGCAAGGGAGGCAGCUUGGAGAGCAGUGGGGGUGCAUCAAGCUUGCGUAGUGAAGAGGGCUGGGAGGGGGGGGGCACACUGGGCGUGGAUUGGAUGGAAGGGGGGGGGAAGCCUGGGUCGGCCCUUGUGGAGGAGGGUCUGGUGGGCCUGCCGUGUGCCUUCACGCUGGUGCCCAAAACCUGUAUCGACCACGCAAAGAGGGGCGCCGAGUCACCAAUCUAUGGUUUGGAGGGCGAGGACUCGCUUCUGACACCACCAGGGCCCUCCAGCACAGUGAGCAGCCCGUCCAGGCAGCACCCAUCAGCGGAGCGACGCCGCUACUCUCGCUCUGCCGACUCCAUCUGCAGGGGUAGCUCCAGACCGCGACCUCGGUCAGGAACGGGCAUUGCAGUGUCACAGCGCAAGGUGAGGCAGAUCUCGGAUCCCAUCCAGCAGAUCCUCUUGCAGCUGCACAAGCUUAUCUACAUUUCACAACUUCCUCCAUCGCUGACGCACAACCGGUCACGCAGGGCUGUGGAACGUUUCAAGAAGUCGCUCUUCAGUCCCCACAGCAAUGCUUGCAAUCUCAAGAGUGAGAUUCAGAAGGUGGUGCAGGGUUCCCAGGAGGUAAUCGACUUGGGCUGGGCCCUGGCGAAGCCUGGCGUCUACUGUCAGAGCAGCUCCAGCUCCCAGCUGAGCUCGGGGGAAACCCAUCGUGAGGGACAGCACCACCAUCAGCUCACUCCCUCCACCGAUCUUCACUCGUCGCCGUUGACCUUGGCCAGUGCAUUACAAAUACUGAUGAGAGCUACAGUUAUUAUGAUGGCGAUGACAAUCAGGAAGGCAUCACUUAUGGGCAAAUGCAGUGUAUGAUUGAAGAUGUGCUCAUGGAGAGUGGCUACUACAGUACAGGCCAAGCCACCCGGCACCAGGACUUGGAAUCUUCAACUGUGAGGGCCCUGCUGUCUUGACACGACCCAACACUGCUCGUUGGCAGAGUUCCUACAACAAGAAGACUCUGCCAUGGGGAGAACCCCUCCACAGGGACCACUUCACGAGGAAGCUGUGGCCCCAUGGUUCUCAGCCAGCUGCGGGUAGUCCUGUUGCGUAGCACAGCCUGGCAGACAUACUGAUGGUGUGUCAAUAGCCUGCAAAAGUUCCAUAUGCAUGGUAAUUUACACAGACACUGUGCUCUUUUCUACGGGUUCAGAUGGAGUCCUCUUAAGGCAACAAAACACCUGAGAACACAUUUUCUAAAAUAGUCCAGAAUUAAUAGGUAAAGCGUACACAUUGACAUUGCACUUUAUCACCGUUGAGGCUCUGGAUACAUUAUAUAACUCCUUUAACUUGGGCUAGUUUUUUUAAAACUCAAUUACAGUUAAUUCUCAAUGAUCCGUGGGCAGACCAUUCCCUUUGAGUUUUAAGCUUGCUUGCAAAAAUAUAGAAUAUCUCUCCACAUGUGUUUGUAUAGUCAUUCGCUGCUCCUCACUCGUCAGUCGAUGGUCAGUGACUGGGUGCCUAUGAGAAUGCAAGCACGUCGGGAAGCAAAUGGAUUAGUUUAAGAAGCAAUCAAAACAGAUGCCACAUUCCGCAUUUUCACCCCCAUUUUCACCCCCAUUCUGCAUAGCUAAACAAUGCAUAUUUUUAUUGCCUAAUCUGCACAUGUUUUGAUUAUCCGUGUUUUUGUUUCAUUUGGGCCACCCCUCCACCCUGCAUUACCCUGGGUAAUUAGCCGGUGACGACUAUUUAAUGCAGGUGAAGAAACUUCAGGGGAGCCGAUAUGAGUAUUACAGCGCAGACUAAUCUAAAUUUAGUCGUGUUAAAAACAGUAUGGCAAGUCUUGGCUUGACAAGUCGAGGAAGCAUUUUCCAGUUUGGAACAUUGACUUGUGCACAUGCUCCGUCGUGGAACCAGAAUCAUGCAUUGAUGAAGAUCGAUUCAUGACCCAAAUGAUACGCACAUCAAAUUACAUGCCCAAGAAUGGUUUGCUUUUGAUUAUGCUCAUUUUAUGCUAUGUAAAUGCACAUACCUAUGUAGCACAUACAGAUGAGCCAUGCAAUGUAGACAGAAUGACAUAACCAAAUUAGGACGUAACAUACAGUGCGGAUGGAUAAAAGUAAAAAAGGACAAAACAAACCAAAGCACAGAUGAAACACAAAUAACAACACAUACAAGACAUUACAAAGGAACGUCCAAGAGUAUAAUCAGGGAUUAUUGAUACAUUGCAUAAACUGUUGGUAUAAGAAGGCAGCUGCGCUUUAUUCGAGUGGAUGUUUAUCCCAUUACGUGCAUUAUAACAGCGAUUCUCAAUCAUUUUUGUACCCAGGCUUAGUAGAGCCACAGUUCAAACGUCUUCCGAGGCACUUUGAGAACCCCACAGUGGGGCAGUGUUGUAGCUGUGUGGGCUUAUCAACGUCUGAUUUACUCUUGCGCUGGUGCAAGCUGGAUCAGCAGGAGAAUCCACUGUGAAUCCAGUUGUCUUUCACAGACCCCCUUAAUGAUGCCUGCGUCCACUUCGGGGUCAACAGACUUCCCAGUUUAAAAACUCCUGCCUGAUAGUGUUCUCAUGCUGCUAAAACGAUUAUUAUAAUAUGUGGUAUCCAUGAAUUGGGCAAACCAAGAGUGAUUUGAUCGUGGGAGAAAUCACUCUGAACAUUUUAAUUUGAAGUGGCCAAGAUCGACAGUCUUUCAGUAUCCAGAUUGAUGCACCCAGGAAAUGUAUGGUGCACAUUUUAAAUGAACUCAGGAUUUCUGUGCAACACAGAAUGUUUACGUUUGUGUAUAGUGUUGACGACAAAGUGUGCGUACGCGCUGGGCUAUGGCUUACGAGCAACUCAUGCUCAUCUCUUUGUUUUUAUACCCUAGUUAACUUGCUUCUCUGUAUACAGUUCAGUAGUGUUUGUAGUGUUGGGUAUGCUGCGAUAAGCUGUGUGGUUUGGCAACUGUAAUAACCACGGCUUAGUUUCUCACCUAAUAUCCCCAGGUCGCUGGUAGACGAGUAAAUGGCACCUAACCAGUAGCCACAGCCACACCGAGAGGUAUAUUGGAUGUGCUGUGUCUAGUAUGGAACUGCUUAGUAUUCUAGUGUUGAGUGUUUACUAAGGUUUAAUCGGUUUGUAAAACUUAAGCAUGGGUCCAUAAGCUUGGGUUUGUGGUCUUGUAAUGCACUUUGAGUACCAAUGUGGGAUGGUAUAUCCAUUAUCUCACCACCAUAGUCCAUGGUCCAGAGCAGAAAUUGGGACCACCUAAGGCAGCAAAGUUUCAGUCGUACCAAUGUAUUUAUAUGGCUAAUGAUAACCCACUAAUUUCAAAUGGUUUUCACAGAAUCAAUUGUUAUUGGCCAUGUAAAUAAAUUGUAGCCGUGAGAGUUACGCCGCUGCAGGUGGUGCCGACGAGAGAAAUGUCUCGUCUUGACUCGUGGCGCUGUAGCUUAUGGAUCGGUGGUCGCUGUAUCAAUACACCUGUGUCUGGCAUGUGUUCUGAGCUUAUUUGAACUCUUGUUUGCAUUAUCAAGUUGAUCAAAAGCCCACGGUCUCAGUUUUGGUCAGAAUUUUAAAUGAUUGAUGGUAAUUGUAGAUUUACAUUGCGUAAUGUAGAUUUUUACAUUUUAAAUCUAAAUUUACGUUGCGUUUCCACCAAGGGUAUUUUGUAUGAACAGUUGCUCGCAUUUAAAUGGAUUUUGUUUUAAACUGUGCAAAAAUAAACUCCUUAUUGUGGUGAAUUGCU
This is an RNA transcript of Lethenteron reissneri (Far Eastern brook lamprey), 6483 nucleotides long. It is a transcript of the gene named NIMA related kinase 10, with no coding region annotated. NCBI's taxonomy places the organism in Eukaryota, Metazoa, Chordata, Hyperoartia, Petromyzontiformes, Petromyzontidae. The record is from RefSeq and is a predicted model, not a curated record.